CACACACACACACACACACACACUCUCUCUCUCUCUCUCUCUCUCUCUCUCUCUCUCUCUCUCUCUCUCACACACACUGUGCAGCAUUCAGUUUGUCCUGUAAUUACAGGAGCACUGUUGGAGAACACCAGUCCAGUCACUGCAGCUGUUCACUGGACUGACAGAGAAAGACACACACAGAGACCUGUACACCUGGAAGGAAUUCCAGAGAAAAAAAUAAUGAUGUCAACCAUGGAAAUAUGCACCUCACAACAAACAGAUUCUCAGCGGCCACUCCCUCAAGCUCAGAGAAACAGGGUCCCUGUCUUUCUGUUGGGGUCCCCAAGGCGACGUGUGCAUUUCAUUUCCAGAGACCUGCCUCUAUACCUCCCGAGCAAGACUGAACCACAAGACUGCUCCCUGCUUACCCUGCCCCCCAUCCACACCUACCUGGUGAUCAACGGCACCAGCAAGCGACUGACUCCUGACAAGCCCCACCCACGCUGGGAGGAGCCACGGAGGACCACAGCAGCCAGCUGGCCAUCUGGACCUGACACACCUCAGGCAGCCAAUCACAGGCAUUCUCCUUCUGCACCGUCCAAUGGGAAAGAAGCUUGUCAGGCCCAUGAGGCAAUCUCGCCUUGGUGGACCGCUUACCAGGGUGGGAGGAAGCUGGUCAAAGCAUUGCUAAAGUGCAUUUCUGGACAGGGAGGGUAACAAGCAUCUGUGAUGAUUUAGGAGUAUUUUAGCUUUGAUUGGUUCAAUUGCUUGAAAUGUCAUUAAUUCCUUAUUUUUUUUUUACAUUUGCCCUUACUGUUUUUUGUUGUUUGCAAUCAUUCUAUUAUCAUUUUCACUAUAAAGCUCAAAGCAGCUCAAAGACAGGUAUAGACAGGACCUCUCAGAGGGAUUGAUAACACCAUAACAUAGUCAUGCAAAAGAAAGACAAAUGACAUUUUAAGAUACUUUUCCUCUAUUGUUUUUGUUUUCAUGUGUUCAGUAGGGCUCUGUAUUGUGGAUAGAUUUAAAUUAUGCACAGUUGACAAUGUGUCUUAUAUGAUUAAAUCAUUAUGAAUAUUAUUACUUAAUUCACCACA
Acipenser ruthenus (sterlet) is the source of this 1073-nucleotide long non-coding RNA. RefSeq lists it as uncharacterized. Lineage: Eukaryota; Metazoa; Chordata; Actinopteri; Acipenseriformes; Acipenseridae. The transcript is spliced from 2 exons. The record is from RefSeq and is a predicted model, not a curated record.